This 380-nucleotide unclassified non-coding RNA is filed under the name Hevea brasiliensis (rubber tree). Lineage: Eukaryota; Viridiplantae; Streptophyta; Magnoliopsida; Malpighiales; Euphorbiaceae. The record is from RNAcentral.
AACAAGGCGCCAAGGUGUCCUAGAACCUAGGUGCAAGGUGCAAGGCGCAAGUGCGUGCCCGAGCGAGACAAGGCAUAAAAAUAAAAAAAUAAAAAAAACUACCAUCAGUGGAACAGAGAAAUCAAUUAAAAGAAGCAGACCAUAACAGCUCAAACUAUCCCAAAAAAAGUAACAAUCAGGACAAGAUUAACCACAAAUUCAAAAAUCCAAAUGCAUAAGGCUCCAAGAGUCGCUAAAUUUAACAGUUAAAAAAGGUCUACAACAACUAAGCUGGGUUGACCACUGGCACGUGAAUCCCUAUUUAAGAUAACAAGCAGAUCAAACAAGUAUUACGCGUAAUUCAAAUAAACCAGAUUAAUAUAUAUAUGUGUGUGUGUGUG